Long non-coding RNA from Oncorhynchus masou masou (cherry salmon), 623 nucleotides. RefSeq lists it as uncharacterized. NCBI's taxonomy places the organism in Eukaryota, Metazoa, Chordata, Actinopteri, Salmoniformes, Salmonidae. The transcript is spliced from 3 exons. The record is from RefSeq and is a predicted model, not a curated record.
UUCUCAUAGGACUUCCUCUGGCUGCAGCCAGCCAGGCAGCCCAGAUGACACACGUUAGAUCAAGAAUAGAAAAAGAAUCCAGGCCUCCACAUCGGAUUACAUCUGACAAGCAACAUGGACCCAGAUUUGUCCACUCUGAAGAUCUUCCUUGGCUCACAGAACUUUUCCUUCCCUCUGUCAUCCAAAAAUGUUUCGGACCAUAUGCAGCUAAAUGGAAACAGAUGCCCCUCGCGCCAGUGAAAGAAAGAGAGAGAAAGGAAGAAAAAAAGAAAAAAUUGAUUUACAGCGUCUAACAGUUCCAUUCAACAGUGCAUUAGCCUGUGCUACCUAUGGGCUUCCACAAAAAAUAUGGAUAAAUCGAACCAGGAAAUGGAUCAUCUUCGCAUGCCACCGAAAAAGGAAUCUGUUGUUACUCAAGGCGGAGCUCUAGGCUCAGGGACUGUCUCUAAUUUUAGCACCUGGAGUUCCAUAUAAGCAUACCAUAUAUUUUAGCCAUGACACACAGAAACAAUAAAUCCUAAAACCAAACACCAGACAUAGAGGCAAACACUAUGUUCUCAUGACUUAAACGAGUCAGUCAUUUGAAAUGGUAAUAAGCUCCUUUAAUGAGAAUAGAGUGAGAG